AUGGCAUUCACUGAGAGCAGGGAAUUCAAGCAGGCUUUGGUUAAAUAUGGGCUAGUUAAUUUCCACCACCUAAGAUUCCCUAAAGAUGAGAAGAAGAGGGUCAGUGCACAGUGCUCUUGGCCUGGAUGUCCUUGGAGCAUCUAUGGCUCAAUUAGCAGCAGGUCUGAUUGGCUACAAGUUGUGAGGUACAACAAUGAGCACACAUGCAUUCCUAGGAGGGACAACAAGCUGGUUACUAGCAUAGUUAUUGCAAAAAAAUAUUUCAGGCAGAUUAGGGACAAUCCUACUUGGAGGGUGGAGAAAAUGCAAGAGGAGUACUUGAGGAUUUGCUAG
Molecule: ribosomal RNA, 333 nt
Filed under: Triticum aestivum (bread wheat)
Lineage: Eukaryota; Viridiplantae; Streptophyta; Magnoliopsida; Poales; Poaceae
Description: partial small subunit ribosomal RNA
Source: RNAcentral